AUGCCUUUGCCUGUUCCUGUUGCUCCAUGGGAGGACAUUUCUAUGGACUUCGUCUUGGGCUUGCCAAGAACAAGACAAGGAAGUGAUGUUGUAUUUGUGGUCGUGGAUAGAUUCUCUAAGAUGGCUCAUUUCAUCCCAUGCCGCAAGACAACGGAUGCUCAUCAUGUGGCAAACCUAUUCUUUCGAGAAGUGGUCAGACUUCAUGGAGUUCCAAGGUCCAUUGUCUCAGACCGUGAUAGCAAGUUUCUUGCUGCAUUUUGGCUCACUGUGUGGAAGCAAUUCAACACUGAAUUGAAAUUUUCUAGCACUGCUCAUCCACAAACAGAUGGACAAACGGAAGUGGUGAACAAGUUUUUGGGUAAUCUGAUCUGUUGCAUUUGUGGAGAAAGAAAGGGGCAAUGGGAUUUGGCUUUAUCUCUUGCAGAGUUCUCCUACAAUAACUCCAAGCAUAGAUCCACAGGAAGGAGCCCUUUUUCCAUUGUCUACACUAAAGUUCCAACACAUGUGGUGGACCUGGUGAAGCUGCCAUCAAGGGGAAACUCAAAAUCAGCAUUGUCCUUUGCUGAUAAUUACACCGAGUUAUUUGAAGAGAUUCGCGGCGCUUUGGAAGCACAAAAUCAGAAAUAUAAACAACUUGCUGAUUGCAAAAAGAGGCCAAAAUCAUUCCAAAUCGGUGAUAAGGUGAUGGUCUACCUCCGAAAAGAGAGGCUGCCUUUAGGUGUUAAAGGGAAAGUUAGGCAGCGAAGGUAUGGACCCUUCUCUAUCAUGAGGAAGAUAAAUGAUAAUGCUUAUGUGAUAGAUCUUCCAAGUGACAUGGGUAUCUCCAACACUUUCAAUGUUGCGGACUUGACUCUCUACCAUCCAGAAGAAGCGCUCUAUGAAGAUAACUCGAGGGCGAGUUCCAAACAACCAGGGGAGAAUGAUGAGGAACACUAG
RNAcentral lists this ribosomal RNA (936 nucleotides) under Triticum aestivum (bread wheat). RNAcentral describes it as "partial small subunit ribosomal RNA". Lineage: Eukaryota; Viridiplantae; Streptophyta; Magnoliopsida; Poales; Poaceae. The record is from RNAcentral.